UGAAAAUAGUCUACAAAGUUCUUUGUAAACAUUAAUGCAAAACUCAACAGAGUAACCUGAAAUCAAAUGUGUGGCUAAACAAGCAUUUAUUCAUGUUUGAACUGUUUUUUUACAUUUUUGUUUGAGUUAUGAACAUUAUAAAUUGAAGUACAAUU
Molecule: long non-coding RNA, 155 nt
Organism: Amphimedon queenslandica
Lineage: Eukaryota; Metazoa; Porifera; Demospongiae; Haplosclerida; Niphatidae
Exons: 2
Source: RefSeq, a predicted model, not a curated record